AUGAACGCUGGCGGCGUGCCUAAUACAUGCAAGUCGAGCGAACAGACGAGGAGCUUGCUCCUCUGACGUUAGCGGCGGACGGGUGAGUAACACGUGGAUAACCUACCUAUAAGACUGGGAUAACUUCGGGAAGCCGGAGCUAAUACCGGAUAAUAUAUUGAACCGCAUGGUUCAAUAGUGAAAGACGGUUCUGCUGUCACUUAUAGAUGGAUCCGCGCCGCAUUAGCUAGUUGGUAAGGUAACGGCUUACCAAGGCGACGAUGCGUAGCCGACCUGAGAGGGUGAUCGGCCACACUGGAACUGAGACACGGUCCAGACUCCUACGGGAGGCAGCAGUAGGGAAUCUUCCGCAAUGGGCGAAAGCCUGACGGAGCAACGCCGCGUGAGUGAUGAAGGUCUUCGGAUCGUAAAACUCUGUUAUUAGGGAAGAACAAAUGUGUAAGUAACUAUGCACGUCUUGACGGUACCUAAUCAGAAAGCCACGGCUAACUACGUG
This 496-nucleotide ribosomal RNA is filed under the name uncultured bacterium. RNAcentral's name for it is "partial 16S ribosomal RNA". It matches the Rfam family "Bacterial small subunit ribosomal RNA", at positions 29 to 507 of the family's 1533-position model. The record is from RNAcentral.